GACGAACGCUGGCGGCGUGCUUAACACAUGCAAGUCGGGCGGUAAGGCCCUUUCGGGGGUAACACGAGCGGCGAACGGGUGAGUAAACACGUGGGUGACCUGCCCUCAGCUCUGGGAUAAGCCUGGGAAACCGGGUCUAAUACCGGAUAUGACUCCAUGACGCAUGUUGUGGGGUGGAAAGCCUUGUGCGGCUGAGGAUGGGCCCGACGGCC
This 212-nucleotide ribosomal RNA is filed under the name uncultured bacterium. Its description in RNAcentral is "partial 16S ribosomal RNA". It matches the Rfam family "Bacterial small subunit ribosomal RNA", at positions 28 to 238 of the family's 1533-position model. The record is from RNAcentral.